GGUGGCUUAGUGGUAGAGCACAUGCCUUGCAUGCGUGAGGCCCUGAGUUCCAUUCCUCAGCACCA
RNAcentral lists this transfer RNA (65 nucleotides) under Dipodomys ordii (Ord's kangaroo rat). It matches the Rfam family "tRNA". Rfam says of the family: Transfer RNA (tRNA) molecules are approximately 80 nucleotides in length. Their secondary structure includes four short double-helical elements and three loops (D, anti-codon, and T loops). Lineage: Eukaryota; Metazoa; Chordata; Mammalia; Rodentia; Heteromyidae. The record is from Rfam by way of RNAcentral.